This is an RNA transcript of Vicia villosa (hairy vetch), 3638 nucleotides long. It is a transcript of the gene named PI-PLC X domain-containing protein At5g67130-like, with no coding region annotated. The transcript has 15 exons. The record is from RefSeq and is a predicted model, not a curated record. NCBI's taxonomy places the organism in Eukaryota, Viridiplantae, Streptophyta, Magnoliopsida, Fabales, Fabaceae.
AUCGUUCUUUAAUUUCCACUCUCUUCAUCGUAACUGUCCUUCAACCAUUCUCUUCCAAAUUCCCAAAACGGUUCUCAAAUCAUUUUUUCUCAUAACUGCCCUUCAACCAUCCUCUUCCAAAUUCUCAAACCGUUUACAAUCCACAAUCCAUUGCGUUUCUGUUUUUUAUGGCAGAUUCUUCGCUCUCCUAUUUUUCUCUUUCUCACUAUCAAUCCUGAUUCUCGAUCCUGAUAUUUUGCUUCCUUCCAUUGCUUGCGCUUCCGCUGCUUCCUCCAAAGGCGUCGAGGUUUUUUUACUUUCUUUCUUCUUCUUUGAUUUCAUCUUCCUGUAUGGUGCCUGCGGCUGCGUCGAUCUUGGCCGGAAGGAUGAUGCUCGCGGUGAUUGGUUUCGCUUUCUCACGACCCUUCAGAGUUGUCGGGUUUAAUUAAACGGUUCUCGAUGUCAAUACAGAAGCUUGAUCUGUAGACAAAUCACGAUACAUAACGUAUCCAACCCAAAACGCGAAAGAGAUUUGAAGAAAAUACCGGUCUGUUAUGGGAGCACAAAAUCGAGUGAAUUAAAGGUAUCAGUUUUCUGGAACGACAAAGUCGGCUUAUGCUGUUGCUGAGAAAUAUAUCUCAAUGCGUUAAAUCAUGAUACCAGAGACCUUCCAGUCGGUUUUGAUUUUUCUGACCGGGAAACACCGAUCAAUCAUCAGGUCUCAGAAAGCAUUAACUGUGAAUGGAAAGCCAAGAAAUAAAUUGCCUAAUAGGAAAAAGGCAUUCAUGAUGAUGAAUGUGUUUACAUUUGUGAUUUUAAUGCAAUACAAUAUACAGAGUGGGGAUUGAAAUUCCAAAAAUUGAAGUUCGUUAUGAGAAUUUGUCAGUGGAAGGAGAUGAGUAUGUUGGAAGUAGAGUGCUUCCUACUCUUCUUAAUGUCACCGUCAAUACUUUCGAGCAUUAUGGGAUUGUUUCAUCUUGCACCAACGAAGAAAAGAGAGAUUCAGAUUCUCAAAAAUGUUAGUGGGAUUGUGAAACCCUCACAUUACGAAAUGGUGCAGCCAUUGCAGUCUUUGGAUGUUUUCCGUCAGGUGAAGAUCGGUAAGCUUGUGUUUUAAACUAUCAAAUUCAAUUUAAAAUAUAACUUGAAUCAGACUAUCACUUAACCAUUUUUUUGAUCAAUACCCCUUUGACUGAUAGUAGCCAUCUUUGUCAAGUGAGAUGUCAAAUAAAGUAUCGGUUUCUGGUGCCGAUCGACAUUAGUUUCUUCUGCAGUGUUGUGGUCAGGGGGAUUCUAAGAAGAGGUGCGGUUGACUCUGCCGCAGAUGAGGUAGGAAUUUGUCUAGGAAUUGCAGGGUGUUUGGUUUUAUUGGAGCAUUUUGUCGAGCAUCACUUUCGGCUGCGGAGGAUUGUGUUGGACCAAUGUUUUACACCAUAAUCUUUGGUUAUUAAAAUGCGUUGAAUUCAGGAUUAUCAUAUCCAGUUGCUUCAGCUUCAGUUAAAGUACUUCAACGCUUAUGGAGGAACGACUUGGCAGCACUAAAGGUUUGGAAUUCACAAGAGUUGGCCCUUCGAACCACCAGCUGUGAGAUGUCGUCGAUUCAGUCUUUCUUUGAUUCCUCUUUCAUAAUUUAUAUUGGUCAGCUUAUUGAAGGGAGUUUAUUUCGGUUGGGGUUGCAUUUGAGGAAAUAGGAGAGGUAUUCUGUUAUAUUUUCCUGUCAAUUUCAGUUACAAAAGUUAGUCAUGCAAUUAUAGCAUUGUCAUCAUUUCUAUUAGAGCUUCUGUUGCAAAACCAGAAUCAGAUGAACUAACUUCUGUUAAAAGAUAAAUGUAAGCUGAAUCUUUCAAUUCAGAACCUGUGUAUAUAAUUUUGUGAAUUUUGAUAGGGUAUAGUAUAGUAUAUUCAAUUCAAUUCAAUUCAAUUGUAUAUUGUAUAGUAUACUACAGAUUCAUAUACAUUUCGCAGAGUUAGAAAUUAAGCGCGUGAAAGAGAUUGCAGAAUGAAGAAGACAACCAAACGGUCAUUCUAAUUAUGGAAUUGAAAUUUAUCUUGAUUUGUUAUUGUUGUUAUUUUGUUAAGGGUGAUGGAGCAGAGAGAACAGUGAAGAAGGUGAUGGAACUUCCAUUUAAUCAGUACUCAUGGCUUACAACUCAUAACUCUUUUGCUUCGAGGGUAGCGAAUUUGAGUAUAAACUCUCAAAUUUCGUCUGUCACGAAUCAGGAAGACUCCAUUACAGAUCAGCUGCAUAAUGGUGUGAGAGGAUUAAUGUUAGAUAUGCAUGAUUACCAUGGUGACAUUUGGCUGUCUCGCGGGCCGAGCACAAUAUUUACAGCCUUUCAACCUGCUAUUCAUGUUCUGAAAGAGAUCAAUGUAUUCCUGACACAACAUCGAAAUGAGAUCGUCACCGUUUUCAUUAAGGAUCAUGUAACAUCACCAAAUGAUAUUAACAAGUUGUAUAAUUUUGGAAAAGAGAUAUGCACGCCAAGUUGCAGAUAUGGAGCUAGACUCAAAUAAUCUCGGUGGCCGAAUUGCGCAGCGGUUCUUUGAAGUUUCUAAAUACAAGAUACCAUGAUGAUGGGCGCUGACUAUUAUCAAACACGAAAAAAAACUUAGGUGCACAUCAGGGUGAUAGAUGAUGUUGAUCAUGUGUUUGCUGAGGAAGUGGAGAGUCCUAUUCCUAUUUGUGAAAGGGAUGUGGAGACUAUUGGAUUCAACCCGAAUGCUAGAGACAAACCUGUCAGCGAAAAUAGCUUUUAUUUAGGGCUGAACAUGGAACUGUUAUGUUAGUCAAAGAAAUGGUUAGUAUAAAUUGUUAAGACUAGAAUUCUGUCGAGACAUUUAGGUAUUGUAUUAUUGAAUGUAUCUUUUAAACCAUACUACAGUGAGAGUAUUACUAAAGAAUUAUAUACAAAAAAACGUGAUGUCAUGUUUUAAACCAUACUACAGUGAGAGUAUUACUAAAGAAUUAGACGAAAGGUUCAUGUCAAACCAACAAAGCUGCCCUUCUUUGCUCCCCACAAUUAAAUUAUCACCUGCAUGUCAUGUGUGCAGAAAAACAAGAUGAACGAUUUACUGCAUUUAUGACUCCAGGAUGGACUGCAAUAGACGAGGCUUCUUUGAGGCCGGUAUCAAGCUUUUUUAUGAGUUUGGACUUCAAUAAAUCAUACACACGAACACUCUUCUGUGUACAAACAAAGAAGAUGGAACGGGAUCGAUGGAAGGUUGAUCUAACAGCAAUUCCACGUAACUUGAAUGGAAGUUUUUGUGUAGCUUUCUUGGACAACUGGUGUAUGAGAACUGAUCUUGACUCACGUAAAGAAUAUGUUAAGGAAAUAAUGAGUCAAUCUUAAAUAUAAUAAUUUAUACCUCUUAAACUUUUCUUAAGAUAAAAAAUAAAACGGCUAAAGUUGGUAACCGAUCAGUUUAAUACACUAUUUCUACAAGGUCUGUGAAUAAACUAUUCACACACAACACAGGCAUCAACAGAAUGACAUGGAAAUAACACCCCAUGUAUGUUUCUCUUAAUGGUGUUAAAGUUAAUGUGUCAAAAGUCAGUGAUGGUUUCGUGCUGUGUUGAAAGAGAUAACAAUUGUCAGUAAGGUAUGAUACAGUAACAUACAUACAUGUGCAAUGAUAGGUAUGUGAGCCUUGAUGUGUAU